CCGAGUUUACAACUCCCAAACCCAAUGUGAACCAUACCAAACUGUUGCCUCGGCGGGGUCACGCCCCGGGUGCGUCGCAGCCCCGGAACCAGGCGCCCGCCGGAGGGACCAACCAAACUCUUUUCUGUAGUCCCCUCGCGGACGUUAUUUCUUACAGCUCUGAGCAAAAAUUCAAAAUGAAUCAAAACUUUCAACAACGGAUCUCUUGGUUCUGGCAUCGAUGAAGAACGCAGCGAAAUGCGAUAAGUAAUGUGAAUUGCAGAAUUCAGUGAAUCAUCGAAUCUUUGAACGCACAUUGCGCCCGCCAGUAUUCUGGCGGGCAUGCCUGUCCGAGCGUCAUUUCAACCCUCGAACCCCUCCGGGGGGUCGGCGUUGGGGACCUCGGGAGCCCCUAAGACGGGAUCCCGGCCCCGAAAUACAGUGGCGGUCUCGCCGCAGCCUCUCCUGCGCAGUAGUUUGCACAACUCGCACCGGGAGCGCGGCGCGUCCACGUCCGUAAAACACCCAACUUUCUGAAAUGUUGACCUCGGAUCAGGUAGGAAUACCCGCUGAACUUAAGCAUAUCAAUAAGCGGAGGAA
RNAcentral lists this ribosomal RNA (579 nucleotides) under Trichoderma atroviride. RNAcentral's name for it is "eukaryotic LSU rRNA". The stretch from base 186 to 339 matches the Rfam family "5.8S ribosomal RNA". The record is from RNAcentral. Lineage: Eukaryota; Fungi; Ascomycota; Sordariomycetes; Hypocreales; Hypocreaceae.